Etheostoma cragini (Arkansas darter) is the source of this 109-nucleotide long non-coding RNA. RefSeq lists it as uncharacterized. The transcript has 3 exons. The record is from RefSeq and is a predicted model, not a curated record. Lineage: Eukaryota; Metazoa; Chordata; Actinopteri; Perciformes; Percidae.
UCUUGAUAUUUCAACUUGCUUUCAUAGCAUCAAAUAAGUAAUAAAAACCAAACUUAUCAGAGAAAUUAACACUUGAACAAUCAUCAGCGUGAUAAGAAUGACCCAAAAC